AUGAUGGCAAGUCAUGUCACUGAUGCUGGAGUUAUGGAUAUUUAUGCUACUGUGCCCAGAGAAGUUAGUCCGGAGGCAAGUGAUUGGGGGGGACAAAUAUCGGCAAAAGAAGCAAGUUCAAAGUGUGAAACAAGGCAUGUCCAGGCAGGAGAAACAGAGCAGGCAAAGAAUAUUCAGAGAGAAGAAGUAUGGCAUGUUCGGAGAGAGGAAACAGAGCAUUUCCAGGCACAAGAAACAGAGCAAAUUCAGCAGUGUGGCAAGGUGUCAAAACUACCAGUUUUCAGGCCUUCAAAAUCAUUUGUGAACAGAGAAAAAGGAAAAGCAACUGAGAAGAUGGCUACUGCAGAUGAUAGCGACAGUGAUAGUGACAGUGAUUAUGAUGCUCCUCCAUCAGAGAGCAACAGUUCUGCAGAUGAUGAUGAGAUGAUUGAGUACAGAAAAUAUGCUCAAUAA
RNAcentral lists this ribosomal RNA (453 nucleotides) under Triticum aestivum (bread wheat). RNAcentral describes it as "partial small subunit ribosomal RNA". The record is from RNAcentral. Lineage: Eukaryota; Viridiplantae; Streptophyta; Magnoliopsida; Poales; Poaceae.